Molecule: ribosomal RNA, 899 nt
Filed under: uncultured Aquicella sp.
Lineage: Bacteria; Pseudomonadati; Pseudomonadota; Gammaproteobacteria; Legionellales; Coxiellaceae
Description: bacterial SSU rRNA
Rfam family: Bacterial small subunit ribosomal RNA
Source: RNAcentral
GGGUGAGGAACACGUAGGAACCUGCCCACAGGCGGGGGACAACCAUGGGAAACCGUGGCUAAUACCGCAUAUAACCGAGAGGUGAAAGCUGCCCGCAAGGGUGGCACCUGUGGAGGGGCCUGCGUCCGAUUAGCUAGCUGGUGAGGUAAUGGCUCACCAGGGCGAUGAUCGGUAACUGGUCUGAGAGGACGGCCAGUCACACUGGGACUGAGACACGGCCCAGACUCCUACGGGAGGCAGCAGUGGGGAAUACUGGACAAUGGGGGCAACCCUGAUCCAGCGAUGCCGCGUGAGUGAAGAAGGCCCUCGGGUCGUAAGCUCUUUGGGCCGGGAAGAAGCUGAUGUGGUGAAUAGCCAUGUUGGUUGACGGUACCGGCAGAACAAGCACCGGCAAACCCUGUGCCAGCAGCCGCGGUAAUACAGGGGGUGCGAGCGUUAAUCGGAAUUACUGGGUGUAAAGGGCGCGCAGGCGGCGGGGUGAGUGCGAUGUGAAAGCCCCGGGCUUAACCUGGGAAGUGCAUUGCAUACUGUCCUGCUGGAGUACAUGAGAGGGUGGCGGAAUUUCCGGUGUAGCGGUGAAACGCGUAGAGAUCGGAAGGAACGUCAAUGGCGAAGGCAGCCACCUGGCAUGAUACUGACGCUGAGGCGCGAAAGCGUGGGGAGCGAACAGGAUUAGAUACCCUGGUAGUCCACGCCGUAAACGAUGAGGACUGGAUGUUGUCAGGGGAACCUGGCAGUAUCGAAGCUAACGCGAUAAGUCUUCCACCUGGGAAGUACGGCCGCAAGGUUGAAACUCAAAUGAAUUGACGGGGGCCCGCACAAGCGGUGGAGCAUGUGGUUUAAUUCGAUGCAACGCGAAGAACCUUACCUGCCCUUGACAUCCCGCGAACCCGGGAGAG